GUUUUAAUAAUUUAAUAAAAAUGUUGGUCUUGUAAACCAAAAAUAAGUGAAACCUUUUAAAACU
Molecule: transfer RNA, 64 nt
Filed under: Cryptotermes bracketti
Lineage: Eukaryota; Metazoa; Arthropoda; Insecta; Blattodea; Kalotermitidae
Description: tRNA-Thr
Rfam family: tRNA
About the family: Transfer RNA (tRNA) molecules are approximately 80 nucleotides in length. Their secondary structure includes four short double-helical elements and three loops (D, anti-codon, and T loops). Further hydrogen bonds mediate the characteristic L-shaped molecular structure. tRNAs have two regions of fundamental functional importance: the anti-codon, which is responsible for specific mRNA codon recognition, and the 3' end, to which the tRNAs corresponding amino acid is attached (by aminoacyl-tRNA synthetases). tRNAs cope with the degeneracy of the genetic code in two manners: having more than one tRNA (with a specific anti-codon) for a particular amino acid; and 'wobble' base-pairing, i.e. permitting non-standard base-pairing at the 3rd anti-codon position.
Source: RNAcentral